UGGGGAAUAUUGCGCAAUGGGCGAAAGCCUGACGCAGCGACGCCGCGUGGAGGAUGAAGGUCUUAGGAUUGUAAACUUCUGUUAAGUGGGAAGAAAAGUCUGCGCUUAAUACGCGUUAGAAAAUGACGGUACCAUUAGAGAAAGCACCGGCUAACUUCGUGCCAGCAGCCGCGGUAAUACGAAGGGUGCAAGCGUUAUUCGGAAUUAUUGGGCGUAAAGGGUGUGUAGACGGUGUAUUAAGUCUGUUGUUAAAUCUUCUGGCCUAACCGGAAAUCUGCAGUAGAUACUGAUAUGCUAGAGGAUGGAAGAGAGAAGUGGAAUUCUCGGAGUAGCGGUAAAAUGCGUAGAUCUCGAGAGGAACACCAAUGGCGAAGGCAGCUUCUUGGUCCAUAUCUGACGUUGAGACACGAAAGCGUGGGGAGCAAACAGG
RNAcentral lists this ribosomal RNA (430 nucleotides) under uncultured bacterium. RNAcentral's name for it is "bacterial SSU rRNA". It matches the Rfam family "Bacterial small subunit ribosomal RNA", at positions 355 to 776 of the family's 1533-position model. The record is from RNAcentral.